CAAUAGCGUAUAUUAAAGUUGUUGCGGUAAAAAAGCUCGUAGUUAGAUUUCUACCGAAGAUAGCCGGUCGGGUCUUCGACCUUGUAUCUGGUUUUGUCUUUGGUAUCCUCAUAGGGAACGUUUCUGCGCUUUAUUGCGUGGUGCGGUAUCUAUGACUUUUACUUUGAGGAAAUUAGAGUGUUCACGGCAGGCAAACGCCUUGAAUAUAUUAGCAUGGAAUAAUAACAUAGGAUCUUCGUCCUAUUUUGUUGGUUUCUAGGGCUAAGAUAAUGAUUAAUAGGGAUAAUUGGGGGCAUCUGUAUCAACGCGUCAGAGGUGGAAUUCUUGGAUUGCGUUGCGACAAACUACUGCGAAAGCAUUUGCCAAGGAUGUUUUCAUUGA
This 381-nucleotide ribosomal RNA is filed under the name uncultured eukaryote. RNAcentral describes it as "partial 18S ribosomal RNA". It matches the Rfam family "Eukaryotic small subunit ribosomal RNA", at positions 592 to 976 of the family's 1831-position model. The record is from RNAcentral.